UGCUCAGGCCUCUCACCCACAGCUGCCCUUGGACUCCCAGCAGAAAUAAGAAACACCAUCCCGCCAACCAGAUAAGGGGCCCUGGGCUGAAAGAAGGCAAAAUCCGACUGGGCCUGAAGCCACGGUGGAGGAGCCCCUGACGGUGACAAUGGCCGGAUGUGAAGGUGGAGUUAACACCUUUGAGCAACAGAUUUUCCUUAGCAGAGCUGUGGAGUGUGACAAUGGUGUUUGUGUCCAAACUAUCAAACGCCAUUAUCACACUAAAUAGCUACUGCUAGGCAAUGCAUCUACUCCCCAAGUGUCUCGGCACCUGUUCCCUCUGAGCAAGAAGCUGUGUCUUAUACUAGCACUGUCUACUGUGUGUAAUUUCUGAAUAAAAUCUGGUAUUCUCGCACUCAUAA
Long non-coding RNA from Myodes glareolus (Bank vole), 401 nucleotides. RefSeq lists it as uncharacterized. NCBI's taxonomy places the organism in Eukaryota, Metazoa, Chordata, Mammalia, Rodentia, Cricetidae. The record is from RefSeq and is a predicted model, not a curated record.